UGGGCACAUCACAAAACAUAGAGAUGUUCACGAUUUAGUGACAUCAAAAUCCAGGUACAGUAAAUUUCACUAUAAUAUGAUAGUCAAAACUUGCUGAAAUUGAAAAUUAAGUUUACUUUUGUUCAGUAACACUUAAAUAAAAUAUGAUGCAUACUGUUAGAAUUAAUACAGGUAAAUUGCCCUUCUAUUGUACUGUAUGUAUCAAUCAGAAUUUAUAAUUCAACCUUGGACAUCAUCUACAUACCACAAUUUAUUUUAUAGGAAUCAAUCCCAGAUGCUGGCACAGUAAGCAGAGCAGUAUCUGAAAAAACAAGUGCAGAGCAGCAUGGUCAUGAACCAAAUAUAUCUCUGGAGGAAAUAACUUCAUUUAACGUAAGAGAAAUUCUUCUGGCAACACCUGAUGGAAAACCUAUUAUUAAUGGUAUAGAAGAAAAGCACUGCAUGUCAAUUCAUGAGAGACGAGCCAUGGUUCGGAUAUUGGUGUCACAUCUGAGGAGGUGCUUUGGAGAAAAUUUCAAGGCCUUAAGGACUGCCAGAAUAAAGGCUAUGAAGCAUGGUUCAGUCCAGGUCGAAAUCACAGACCUGCCAAAGGCUUCUUGGAGGAGCGCCUUACCAAAUCAGAGUAUAUCAAACAACACAGACGAAGCCAAUAACUUAACUUUGCCGGAAUCAACUGUGGACAUGGAACGAGCCGUUCAAAUGACUGAGUGGCUUAAAAAUAAUAUCUGGCCACCAAGUUAGGUUGAACAAUACAUGAAAGAGACAGCCAUCCAUCGGGCAAAAUGGAUUUGAGAUAAUGGAACCAAAGCAGUCAUGGAAAUAGUUAAAGAGUAUCCACGUCUCCUCGACACUCCGGACAUGAUAUCCCAGGACUUUUCAAUUCUUAAUCCUGACUCUGCUUCAAAACUCACGAGAACUGGGUGCCUGUCUUCAAGGAUAAGAUCCGACAGUUCGCCACCCGAGAAAAGCAGCCUGUUCAUUUACUUUCCAAUUUAGAAACUAUGUCAGCAGACCAUCAGAGUGACAUCACCUUACUUGUCCUACCUAUAAUCCUUCCAACCUCAAUUUAUAAGAUUGGAAGGAAAAUGUUCAGACCGACUUAUAUUGAAACCAGGAAGGCUUUCAUAGACAUACAACCGAUCGGAACCAACAUGGCUGAAUACCUGCGGUCAAAAGGCACAAGCGAUGUUCUCAUGCUGGGAGACAACGAGUGCUUUCAGGCUUUUGUUAUACUAAAUGGAGAAGCAAUUGAGCAAAAAACAUUGCUGGCAGCAGUAGAUGUUUGCUUUAAAGCUUUCUACGUCUUCGAUAUCAAUUACCCCAAGCAGUGCUCCCCCGUCUGGCAGUUUCUACAGACUGUGGUCUUUGGACUUCUUGGAGAUUAAACUCCAUCAAUAAGAAUUCUACGUGCUUUUAUAUCUGCUGCUAAAGAGUAGUUAUUGUUAGUUAGAACAACUUUGCUGGUGCAAUUUAUUUUGCUUGAAGUUCUUACUGUGACCCUUUCUCUAGGAAAAACUGAACAUAUGCAGUUUGUUAUUUUGGCUGAAUGUUAUCUGAUUCUGACAUUGUGCAGAGGUGCAUAAAGUGUUAAACAUGUUCUGAGAAUGUUUUAAUGCCAAAGUUUUUACAAUGAAUUUUUCUGUGACAAUUUCUCUCUUAGGAAAACAGAA
Triplophysa dalaica is the source of this 1670-nucleotide long non-coding RNA. RefSeq lists it as uncharacterized. The record is from RefSeq and is a predicted model, not a curated record. Lineage: Eukaryota; Metazoa; Chordata; Actinopteri; Cypriniformes; Nemacheilidae. The transcript has 8 exons.